Molecule: non-coding RNA, 1427 nt
Organism: Oryza sativa Japonica Group (Japanese rice)
Lineage: Eukaryota; Viridiplantae; Streptophyta; Magnoliopsida; Poales; Poaceae
Source: RefSeq, a predicted model, not a curated record
AGUUAGAAUGUCAUUAUCAGUUUUUGAACACUGAUCAUGACUUCCCGAUUUGUGUCUCUUCUUUUUUCGCGAACGCGUAAAAUUUGUGUCUCUUCACCUAUAUGUAUAUUGAUUUGCACUACUCUACACACUGCAGAGUCACAAGAUCACAUAAUUUUGUUCAUUGCUGUUUAGUGUGGACUCUUCAUGGCUUCCUCCUUCCGGCUCUCCUCUGUAACCGAAGCGGCGGACGAAGCAAAAGCCCACAAGAAAAUCUACGAUCAACUCCGGCAAGUCGCGGAGACCUUUCCGACGGCGCCGAGCGGCAUCGACGUCCAUACAGCCGCCACCCCGACGGCUGGUACAUGACCACGGCGGGGGUCGUGAGUGCCAUGGUCGUCAAGAGCCACCUGACGGCACGCGCCACCGACAUCUUCCUCGUCACAUUCCCCAAGUCCGGCACCACUUGGAUCAAAGCGCUUCCGUACUCGGCUCUCCACCGCAGGGCUGACGAGCUCCUGGCGCAUAGCCCCCACCAGCUCAUCUCUUUCCUCGAGUCUCAGGUGUUCGUCAAAGAUCGGAUACCUGACUUGAGCUCCCUGCCGGAGCCAUGGCUGUUGAUGACGCAUAUCCCGUCUCAAUCGUUGCCAGACUCCGUCGCAGCCUCAGGCUGCAAGGUGGUGUACCUGUGCCGGGAUCCCAAAGAUUGCUUCGUCUCGCUCUGGCACUUUUGGAACAGGUUCAUGCCAUGGAACAUUGAUGACGCACAUCGACAAUUCUGUAAUGGUGUCUCGUUGUUUGGGCUUUACUGGGAGCACGUCCUCAGCUACUGGAAUUGGCACGUCGAGAGGCCAAGCGAGGUACUCUUCUUGACCUACGAGGAGCUCGCCGCUGACACUCUCGGCCAUCUGAGACGCCUCGCCGAGUUCGUCGGGCGCCCAUUCACAACGGAGGAGCAGGAUGCCAGAGUGGACAGAAAGAUCGUGGAGAUUUGUGCCAUGGAAAGUUUAUCGGGGUUAGAGGUGAAUCGAUCGGGGAUGACCAACUUCACCAAGAAAGACGUGCCAAACAACAUAUCCUUCCGGCGUGGCGUGGUUGGAGAUUGGAGGAAUCACCUGACGCCGGAGAUGGCGAGGAGGAUUGAUGAGAUUACAGAGGUCAAGUUUAAAGGAUCUGGCUUGCUGUUGCAUCCACCGUUUUUACAAGUAAAAAGAGAAUUAAACGAACUAUAGGAGUAUGAUCACGUGUGAAGUGGAGGAACAUCUUCUCAUUAUUGUACUUAUUUCUCUGCUUAAUAAAAAACAUGCAAACCUCUUGCCUAUUUAUGAAAACAAAAAGUGAAAACAUCGUGUGUACUGUAUGUCUAUAAAUGAAAUUAUUGAAAGCUGCCUCGAAUAAUACUCUACUACUAUUAGUAGUAAGUUGUGUUUGUUUUGGUUGUUUGGCUU